AUUGAACGCUGGCGGCAGGCCUAACACAUGCAAGUCGAGCGAGCGGCGGACGGGUGAGUAAUGUAUGGGGACUGCCCGAUAGAGGGGGAUAACUACUGGAAACGGUGGCUAAUACCGCAUACUAUCGAUUAACCCAUUGGGGAUUAGCUAGCAGGUGGGGAAAAGGCUCACCUAGGCGACGAUCCCUACCUGGUCUGAGGGGAUGAUCAGCCACACUGGGACUGAGACACGGCCCAGACUCCUACGGAGGCAGCAGUGGGGAAUAUUGCACAAUGGGCGCAAGCCUGAUGCAGCCAUGCCGCGUGUAUGAAGAAGGCCUUAGGGUUGUAAAGUACUUUCAGCGGGGAGGCGUUACCCGCAGAAGAAGCACCGGCUAACUCCGUGCCAGCAGCCGCGGUAAUAC
This 403-nucleotide ribosomal RNA is filed under the name uncultured bacterium. RNAcentral's name for it is "partial 16S ribosomal RNA". It matches the Rfam family "Bacterial small subunit ribosomal RNA", at positions 30 to 526 of the family's 1533-position model. The record is from RNAcentral.